RNAcentral lists this ribosomal RNA (253 nucleotides) under uncultured bacterium. RNAcentral's name for it is "partial 16S ribosomal RNA". It matches the Rfam family "Bacterial small subunit ribosomal RNA", at positions 524 to 776 of the family's 1533-position model. The record is from RNAcentral.
UACGUAGGGCGCAAGCGUUGUCCGGAAUUAUUGGGCGUAAAGAGCGUGUAGGCGGCCAUACAGGUCAGCUGUGAAAACUCAAGGCUCAACCUCGAGACGUCGGUUGAAACCGUAUGGCUAGAGUCCGGAAGAGGAGAGUGGAAUUCCCGGUGUAGCGGUGAAAUGCGCAGAUAUCGGGAGGAACACCGGUGGCGAAGGCGGUUCUCUGGGCCUGUACUGACGCUGAGGAGCGAAAGCGUGGGGAGCGAACAGG